UUGUGUAGAGGUCGCAAUUAAAAUAAGUAUAAUUCAUGAUAACUUGAAUUAAAUGAUUGAAUUAGAAAGGGUUAAUUGCCGAAGGAAUUAAUAUUUCAAGAUGUUAAUAUCCUGGGUAUAUAGUUAAUAACUAUAUAACUGUCAUCGUAAGAUGGAGAGCUACA
RNAcentral lists this non-coding RNA (164 nucleotides) under bovine gut metagenome. Its description in RNAcentral is "Lysine riboswitch". It matches the Rfam family "Lysine riboswitch aptamer". From Rfam's summary of the family: Riboswitches are metabolite binding domains within certain messenger RNAs that serve as precision sensors for their corresponding targets. Allosteric rearrangement of mRNA structure is mediated by ligand binding, and this results in modulation of gene expression. The record is from RNAcentral.